This 305-nucleotide ribosomal RNA is filed under the name uncultured bacterium. Its description in RNAcentral is "bacterial SSU rRNA". It matches the Rfam family "Bacterial small subunit ribosomal RNA", at positions 334 to 657 of the family's 1533-position model. The record is from RNAcentral.
UUAGCCUACGGGGGGCAGCAGUGGGGAAUAUUGCACAAUGGGGGAAACCCUGAUGCAGCGACGCCGCGUGAGUGAGGAAGUAUUUCGGUAUGUAAAGCUCUAUCAGCAGGGAAGAAAAUGACGGUACCUGACUAAGAAGCCCCGGCUAACUACGUGCCAGCAGCCGCGGUAAUACGUAGGGGGCAAGCGUUAUCCGGAUUUACUGGGCUUAAAGGGUGCGCAGGCGGUCUGUUAAGUCAGCGGUCAAAGCCCGGGGCUCAACCCCGGCCCGCCGUUGAAACUGGCAGUCUCGAGGUGGAGAGAAG